This 329-nucleotide ribosomal RNA is filed under the name uncultured eukaryote. RNAcentral describes it as "partial 18S ribosomal RNA". It matches the Rfam family "Eukaryotic small subunit ribosomal RNA", at positions 1470 to 1796 of the family's 1831-position model. The record is from RNAcentral.
CCCUUAGAUGUUCUGGGCCGCACGCGCGCUACACUGAUGCAUUCAACGAGUCUAAAACCUGCUCUGAUAGGGGUGGGUAAUCUUUUGAAUGUGCAUCGUGAUUGGGAUAGAUGAUUGCAAUUUUUCAUCUUCAACGAGGAAUGCCUAGUAAACGCAAGUCAUCAGCUUGCAUUGAUUACGUCCCUGCCCUUUGUACACACCGCCCGUCGCUCCUACCGAUUGAAUGAUCCGAUGAAUAUCAUGGAUUGAGGAUGUAAGCAGGUUCGCCUGUCUUCAUCUUCGAGAAGUGAAGUAAAUCUUAUCAUUCAGAGGAAGGAGAAGUCGUAACA